AUGUGGCCAAAAACAGGAAAAAAGCAAAAUUAAGAUUGUAAGAUUAUAGAAAAAAAUACCAUAUCAUUAUUUGAAUUGUGAUGGACAAAUAUAGCAUGGCCAAAGGAUCCAAUGAUGCCCUUUAAAGCUGCAUCCUCUGAGGACUCUUCUACGUUAGAAAAGCAGCAGAUUUACAUCUCCUACCUUAAACUAUCAGCAAACUCUGAACUCUGUUGUGCCAUGAAGUGCAGUGUCAGUAAGGGUUUGAUUUUACGCUAUAUUUUCAUCAACAUAAAUUCUGUAGUUUUGUUAUAUGUCAUGCAAAAAUAAGACACGAAUAUUUCAGUUCAUUUUGCCCAAAGUCCAUAAGUGUUAUUGGAAUAAAUGGUUCAGCGGUAAUAUAUACGAGAGUAGUGGUAAAUGGAAAAGCCCUCCGUGACAUUUCUGUGGAGGAAAAGUGCGACCUAUGUUGUGAGUUAAGUUUCCAAAAAAGCAAUAUCAUGGCACAGAAAACAACAAAAGGCAGAAUCUAAGUGUACACAGAAAAUACUUUAAAGUCAGCUGCUGGUAUUGUGCCAGUUCCUAAAAUCUCACAUAUCCCUCACAGAAAGCAACAAUGAGUGUAGUGCUCCUUCAACGAGUUCAUAGUUUGAAUGUAGCAUCGGCUGCAAAUGGAUGCCAAGGUUUCAGAAGACUCUACAGCUCAGAUAGAGCUGCUGUUUGAUUCACCGAACAUCUGCUCACUUAUAAAUGAACAGCAACCAUCUCCGUGCUGAAGCUACUUCCGUUAUGACUUGAAAUGAAAGAUCUGAAUUAGAUUUCAUUAAUCUUUUGCUCUUUGCCUAAAAAAAGAAAUUUAAAUUGCAGACUACUCUUGGCUUUAGGAGCUCUCAUGGCUUUAAUACAGUCUAUGCUGUAGUGUGCAUGUGCUUGAGUAGGUAUAGCUCACCAGUGGUGUUUGCUACUAGCUCAGCCCUUGUCCAGGCUACACAAACAUUCACAUUAGCUCUCUGUCCAACUGAGUGAGCCAGUACUGUGUCCUGGAUACAAACUCAAAGUCACAGGUCAUUUAGCCAUUUAAAUCAGCUGUGCUGGAUCAAGGGCACAUCUAAAACCUGCAGGAACCAGCCCUCAAAGCCUGGAGGUCCCCACUCCUGCUAUAAACAAUGUAGAAGACCGAUACUGAACUCUGCUGACAUGGAUGGUGCAGGAAUAACUUCCUGAUUUCCCAGCAGCCUGUCAGAUUUGCAGUGAUAGACUGCUGAACAGGGAACAAAGGUUAAAGUCAAGCAAAUUUACAAGGCCAAGCUUCAACUGAGUUCAAACUGAAUGGGGCCAUAAGGCAGAUUUAAAUUUGCCUCUCACACACAAUGAACAUGGUCAGAAGAGCUAAACAUUAGGAGGCACACUAAAACUGGCCAGUGGAUGCAGGAGCAAACUGUUGGUGUUUGGUGGUGUCUGUUCAGUAAGACUUCUGUUCAGAGUUUAUUCCUGCUCCUCGCUGUGUUCAAGAGACCCAAAGAUCUUUCUGCUUCACCUCAAGUGUCUCAGUGAUGCUCUCUUCAUAAAUGCUGCAUCUGUCCUCUCUAAGAUUUGCUGUUCCAAGUUCUACUCACCACACUGGAGGCAAUCAGCUGGUCUCAAACCAAGUGACUGUCUCAUGGGAACAGUAGUCCCACAAACAAGAAGAAAAUAGAAACAGGUACCUGCUGGUGUUUUCCCCUUUCACUUAAGCAUUCUCCGAACAUUCAUGAGCUCUUCUAUUGUAGAUUACAACAGUAACAUAGUUACCAGUGAGAACAUUCUGGUGACAACAGUGAGAUCAGCUGAACACAGAUGCAGAUCUGUAGUGCUGGACAUAAAGUGACACAAGUAUCAUUUCUCUGAAUAUGAAAUUAAUGUGCAAUACAAUUCUUAAGUUACGCUGCAGUCCACAGUCUGUGUCAGUCCCACCGCUGUGAUGUCAGAGGGCUGGAGGAGGUGUGAUACAGCUGGAAUACUGGUGAUGCCAGCAAAUUCUCUCCAUCUGUGGAAGACACACACCGAAUAAACAGCCAGUCAGGAGACUACAGCGAUCACUGCACGUGUGUGCAUGCUGCCUGGUAUGUCUCAACAAUUAGCUAAGAGGCAACUGUAACAUGGUGGUUGUUGCCUCUGUUUUAAAAUGACCAAAAACUAAACUCUGUUCAAGAGGACAGGUUUAAUGAAAUCCUGUUAACUGUGACAUGAAGAAAACACUUGAGAUUUUUGUUCCAAAAACAGAGCCAACCUAAAGAAACUGCCUGUGAAACCAACCUGCUGACAGUUUGUUUAAAACAACUUCCUUUUCUGAGCUCUCAGUUCAUGUCUUUAGAAAUAAUGAAAUCCAAAAUAAUCAGUCUGAUACACAACAAGUGUUUUCAGCCUAUAAAUGCAGGACAGAGACAACUAUCUGUAGAGAUUUCUUCAUAGUUUGCAGCAUUUCUUUCCAAAACUGGCUCUGUGGACACUGAAGUACCUGUUAUGCCGUCAGUCAGAUCCCCUGUACUGAUUAUUGCUUUUUUAAAAGAAAAAUCAAGCCAGCAGUGUUUAGGAAGCAUAAUCUUUAGUCUGUAUGGGUCUUUUAUUUUGAAGAGGUAAGCGCUUCUCUUUGUUGUUCCAGUGUCUAACCUCAUACUUUCCCAUUUGCUCUGUGCAGCCUGACAUGGCUUCCAUUAAAAACAAAAGACCCGAUGCCAUUUUUACCAGCAGAGGCGCAUCUGAAAUAAGCAUUGGCACAUCUGGUGGAACUGCAAGCUCUGAGUGACAGUCCCACCAGUGUCCUGUUCAGCUGUUCUACAACUGAACACAGGGCUCGGAAAAUUUCAAAAUCUCUGGUAGCCCUUCGGGCAGGCACUCUUCAGUUUUUGGUAGCCCAAAAUAAAUGUAAGUAGCCUGAAUAAAAAAG
Molecule: long non-coding RNA, 2905 nt
Organism: Oreochromis aureus
Lineage: Eukaryota; Metazoa; Chordata; Actinopteri; Cichliformes; Cichlidae
Source: Ensembl